This 1029-nucleotide long non-coding RNA is filed under the name Homo sapiens (human). Its description in RNAcentral is "non-protein coding lnc-EDC3-2:11". The record is from RNAcentral. Lineage: Eukaryota; Metazoa; Chordata; Mammalia; Primates; Hominidae.
GUCAGCUGGGCUGCUGGCUGCCAGUCCGCCUGCGUUAUCAAAGGCUGCAGACACUGCCCUGCCUGGUGGGAGGCAGGGAAGCUAGCCCUACCUAUCUGAGGCUCUGUGCUGCCUUCAGCCCUCCCACUCAGCCUCCUCCUAGCAGGUGGAGUGCUCCCUGGCCUGCCUGGAGCAGGAGAGGCACCAGAUGCAGGGAUCCCAGGGACAGGCUGAGUGGAGGAGGCCAGACCAGAACAUAGAAGACAAGAGAUGCUGGUGCCAGGCCUGCAGAUCCAAGAGCAGAGCUGGGAUGGAGGCAGGGCCCAGGAGCUUCGGGACCCAGAGUCUCCAUGCCAGCAGCUGAGACCCCUGCCCAGGCUCAGGACACAGUCCGUCUGCAGGAGCAGUUGCUGAUACUCACUGAGGUGAACAAGAGACUCAGAAGAGCUGGGCCAGAGCCACCAGCAACUAGGGGCCUGCUUGGAGCAGCUGCAGCAUCUGCAGGGAGAGCAGAUGGUGUUGGGGGGCCAUUGCAGGCCCUGGAGGCAGAGCACACCUGGCUACUUCAGGAGAAGUACACUCCAGGUCCUGGAGGUACCAGUGCCCCUCAGGAAAGAGCUAGAGGCACAAGAAUCACAUCCCAGGCUUCAUGAGGAGAUGGCUGAAUAUUGGAAGGCACGCUGGCACCGGCUGGCAGUUGCCCUGAAAUUUAAAGAGGAGGAACUGCAGAGACUCCAGAGGCAGAGUGGGACCUGGCCUCCCCAGGGCAGACCGCAGCAGAGACCCCAGGCCAGCCCCCGGAGUCUGCAAAUGAAAGGAGCUGUGGGAGCCCAGGUCUGCCAAGGAGCUGGAGUCUGCAGUGUGGACUCCACCAGAGGCCAAUGGGAGGUGGGUUCAGAGCUGGCUGAGAUGCAGACUGAGCUCGAGAAGGUCUGCAAUGUGCUGGAAGCUUGAGACUCAGAGCUGAGAGCUGAGCAGUGGGCCCUGGAGGCUGCCCAGGACCAGGUGCUCAGCAGCUGCCCCCCUGCACUGUGCUUCCGACUGGCCUGC